AGUGAACGCUGGCGGUAGGCCUAACACAUGCAAGUCGAACGGCAGCACAGUAAGAGCUUGCUCUUACGGGUGGCGAGUGGCGGACGGGUGAGGAAUACAUCGGAAUCUACUUUUUCGUGGGGGAUAACGUAGGGAAACUUACGCUAAUACCGCAUACGACCUACGGGUGAAAGCAGGGGAUCUUCGGACCUUGCGCGAUUGAAUGAGCCGAUGUCGGAUUAGCUAGUUGGCGGGGUAAAGGCCCACCAAGGCGACGAUCCGUAGCUGGUCUGAGAGGAUGAUCGGCCACACUGGAAGUGAGACAGGGUCCAGACUCCUACGGGAGGCAGCAGUGGGGAAUAUUGGACAAUGGGCGCAAGCCUGAUCCAGCCAUACCGCGUGGGUGAAGAAGGCCUUCGGGUUGUAAAGCCCUUUUGUUGGGAAAGAAAAGCAGCAGGUUAAUACCCCGCUGUUCUGACGGUACCCAAAGAAUAAGCACCGGCUAACUUCGCG
RNAcentral lists this ribosomal RNA (492 nucleotides) under uncultured bacterium. RNAcentral describes it as "partial 16S ribosomal RNA". It matches the Rfam family "Bacterial small subunit ribosomal RNA", at positions 29 to 507 of the family's 1533-position model. The record is from RNAcentral.